Molecule: microRNA, 21 nt
Filed under: Echinops telfairi (small Madagascar hedgehog)
Lineage: Eukaryota; Metazoa; Chordata; Mammalia; Afrosoricida; Tenrecidae
Description: Ete-Mir-33-P1_5p (mature (guide))
Source: RNAcentral
GUGCAUUGCGGUUGCAUUGCA